Molecule: long non-coding RNA, 216 nt
Organism: Hydra vulgaris (swiftwater hydra)
Lineage: Eukaryota; Metazoa; Cnidaria; Hydrozoa; Anthoathecata; Hydridae
Source: RefSeq, a predicted model, not a curated record
CAAGGAAAUUGUGGAGAUAAUGACAAUAUUGAAGCAAACGUUGGUAAUAAUAUGAAACAGACGUUGGUGAUAAUAUCGAAACAAGUAACUUAUAAAGCAUUUUUAAAUUUUUAAAAAGAAAUAAAAAUACUUUUCAAUAUAUAUCUGUUUUCUUCGAGGUAGAUUUAAAAUUUCAGGUUUUUAAAAUCAUAUAUAUUAUAGUAUUAAAUUCUUUUU